RNAcentral lists this ribosomal RNA (468 nucleotides) under uncultured bacterium. RNAcentral's name for it is "partial 16S ribosomal RNA". It matches the Rfam family "Bacterial small subunit ribosomal RNA", at positions 28 to 507 of the family's 1533-position model. The record is from RNAcentral.
GACGAACGCUGGCGGCGUGCUUAACACAUGCAAGUCGAACGGAAAGGCCCUGCUUUUGUGGGGUGCUAGAGUGGCGAACGGGUGAGUAGCACGUGAGUAACCUUCCCUUGACUUUGGAAUGACUUCAAGCAACUGCUGCUACUACCUGCUAGGAGCUCCUGCAGCAGGGGGGUGUUUGGAAAGUAUCGGCGGUUGGGGAUGGAGGCGCGGCUUAUCAGCUUGUGGGUUGAGUAGUGGCUUACCAAGGCUUUGGCGGGUAGCCGGCCUGAGAGCGUGAACGGCCACCUUGGUACUGAGAGAGGGCGCAGACGCCUACGUUAGGCAGCAGUGGGGAAUAUGGCACAAGGGGGGGAAGUCUGAUGCAGCAACCCUGGGUGCGGAAAGACGGCCUUCGGGGGGGAAACCGCUGUCGGCUGAUACCAAGCGGGAGUGACGGUAAUGGGUAAAGAAGCACCGGCUAACUACGUG